AUGCAUGCAAGUCGAGCGAAGCUUUUCAGUAGUUUACUACAGAAAAUGACUGAGCGGCGAACGGGUGAGUAACGCGUGAGCAACCUACCUUAGUUACUGGGAUAGCCCGAGGAAACUCGGAUUAAUACCGGAUAUUCUUAUUUAAUCACAUGAUUUUUUAAGGAAAGGUCAGCCGAACUAAGAUGGGCUCGCGUUCUAUCAGCUAGUUGGUAGGGUAAUGGCCUACCAAGGCUACGACGGAUAGCUGGUCUGAGAGGACGAUCAGCCACACUGGGACUGAGACACGGCCCAGACUCCUACGGGAGGCUGCAGCAGGGAAUAUUGCGCAAUGAGCGAAAGCUUGACGCAGCGACACCGCGUGUGGGAUGACGGAUCUAGGUUUGUAAACCACUUUCAGGAGGGAAGAAAAUGACGGUACCUCCACAAGAAGCCCCGGCCAACUACGUGCCAGCAGCCGCGGUAAUACGUAGGGGGCGAGCGUUGUCCGGAUUUAUUGGGCGUAAAGAGCUCGUAGGCGGUUCAACAAGUCGGUCGUGAAAGUUCAGGGCUCAACCCUGAAAUGUCGAUCGAUACUGUUGUGACUAGGAUACGGUAGAGGUGAGUGGAAUUCCGAGUGUAGCGGUGAAAUGCGUAGAUAUUCGGAGGAACACCAAUUGCGAAGGCAGCUCACUGGGCCGCUAUCGACGCUGAGGAGCGAAAGCUAGGGGAGCAAACAGGAUUAGAUACCCUGGUAGUCCUAGCUGUAAACGAUGGAUACUAGACGUAGGAAUUGGAUUAACGAUUUCUGUGUCGUAGCUAACGCGUUAAGUAUCCCGCCUGGGGAGUACGGU
RNAcentral lists this ribosomal RNA (830 nucleotides) under uncultured bacterium. RNAcentral's name for it is "bacterial SSU rRNA". It matches the Rfam family "Bacterial small subunit ribosomal RNA", at positions 51 to 886 of the family's 1533-position model. The record is from RNAcentral.